AAAAUAUCCUAAAUUAGCUAAUAUCUAAAAGGAAGAUUGACAUACAGAGAAUGAGUCGACGCGAGAUAAAGAGAUAGAGGCCAAUAUCUAGAUCCAGAUCCAAAUAAAGAGAGAGUUCGAAAUCUUGAUAGAUCAAGACCAAUGAACUAAAAAUUCGUUAGUCAAACAUGGAGUUUGGUCUGAAAUUUUAAUUGAUGGAGGCUUUCCCGAUUUAGAUUGAGAUAAAAAUAACAUCAUUAUUUGGUAUGUCUUAAAUGACCAUCUAUCAUUGAG
This is a long non-coding RNA of Rosa rugosa (rugosa rose), 273 nucleotides long. RefSeq lists it as uncharacterized. The transcript is spliced from 2 exons. NCBI's taxonomy places the organism in Eukaryota, Viridiplantae, Streptophyta, Magnoliopsida, Rosales, Rosaceae. The record is from RefSeq and is a predicted model, not a curated record.